This 243-nucleotide ribosomal RNA is filed under the name uncultured Actinomycetales bacterium. Its description in RNAcentral is "partial 16S ribosomal RNA". It matches the Rfam family "Bacterial small subunit ribosomal RNA", at positions 88 to 334 of the family's 1533-position model. The record is from RNAcentral. Lineage: Bacteria; Bacillati; Actinomycetota; Actinomycetes; Actinomycetales.
UACUCGAGUGGCGAACGGGUGAGUAACACGUGGGUGAUCUGCCCUGCACUUCGGGAUAAGCCUGGGAAACUGGGUCUAAUACCGGAUAGGAGCCAUUUUUAGUGUGAUGGUUGGAAAGUUUUUUCGGUGUAGGAUGAGCUCGCGGCCUAUCAGCUUGUUGGUGGGGUAAUGGCCUACCAAGGCGUCGACGGGUAGCCGGCCUGAGAGGGUGGACGGCCACAUUGGGACUGAGAUACGGCCCAG